GAUCAGCGCGGUGUGCCAGCCACAGCGCGCCGGCCGCGGCAGCCAUUGGAGGGUGAACCAACGGCAAAGGAAGACCUUUCUCUCUGUCUCUCUCUCUCACUGUCCACUCUGCCUGUCAAAAAAAAAAAAGUAGAAACUCCUACCUUUGAGUAUUUACCAUGUGCAGAACAUUUGACCACGCAUCUGAUUCCAGAGACUGUCGGCUCCAGGACUUGCCUGCAUUCAGGACACAUGUGUUAAAUUGGGAUGGGGCAGGGAAGGGAGGCCAGCUGUAGGAGCUAAGCCACGAUGCAGUCUAUGGUGACACUUGGAAGCCAGGAGAUAGUGCAGCCUUUAUACCAUGAGGGCAUUGAGAAAGUGGGGUUUUGACAAUGCAGUGAUUGGAGAGAGGAUGAUUGUGCUGUUGUUUCAUCUAGACCACACACAGACUGAGCUCCUACUCUGCAGGGAGCACCACACUCAUCCCUGAAGUUUCAGAGGGAUGAAGAAGCCCAAGAAGUUGGCCCCAACAAGAAGAAGGAGGGCGAAAGCAGUUCCUCAGAAGAAGGACCUGAAAAUGAUCAAGAUAAGGCAUAAAGAAGUCCCUAGAAUCCAGCUUGAAGAGAUGAAGAAAGAAAAAAACUGAUUGCAAAACAUUGACAAAACUGUUCUUUAAACCUGAACUAAGUAACAUCCAUUAAUAGCUUAUCUUCUAUACUUUUCAGAUGUAUCUCACAUCAUUUCUUCAGUCUCAAAAUAAAAGCUGUUUGAAAUGAUAAGCUGCA
Molecule: long non-coding RNA, 764 nt
Filed under: Oryctolagus cuniculus (rabbit)
Lineage: Eukaryota; Metazoa; Chordata; Mammalia; Lagomorpha; Leporidae
Description: lncRNA (ENSOCUG00000036491.1)
Source: RNAcentral